Molecule: ribosomal RNA, 253 nt
Filed under: uncultured bacterium
Lineage: Bacteria
Description: partial 16S ribosomal RNA
Rfam family: Bacterial small subunit ribosomal RNA
Source: RNAcentral
UACGUAGGGGGCUAGCGUUGUCCGGAAUCAUUGGGCGUAAAGCGCGUGUAGGCGGUUCGGUAAGUCUGCUGUGAAAGUCGGGGGCUCAACCCUCGAAUGCCGGUGGAUACUGUCGGACUAGAGUGCGGAAGAGGCGAGUGGAAUUCCUGGUGUAGCGGUGAAAUGCGCAGAUAUCGGGAAGAACACCCGUGGCGAAGGCGGCUCUCUGGGACGGUACUGACGCUGAGACGCGAAAGCGUGGGGAGCGAUCCGG